GCUGGGCAUGGUGGUGCAUGCCUGUAAUCCCAGCGGCUCAGGAGUUGAGGCAGGAGGAUUGCAAGUUCAAAGCCAGCCUCUG
RNAcentral lists this small RNA (82 nucleotides) under Marmota monax (woodchuck). Lineage: Eukaryota; Metazoa; Chordata; Mammalia; Rodentia; Sciuridae. The record is from RNAcentral.